This 379-nucleotide long non-coding RNA is filed under the name Elaeis guineensis (African oil palm). Its description in RNAcentral is "long non-coding RNA (EGUI_LNC074709)". Lineage: Eukaryota; Viridiplantae; Streptophyta; Magnoliopsida; Arecales; Arecaceae. The record is from RNAcentral.
GCGGCCAUCGCGAUCGAUUGGUCCAAGUUUCGGACUUCCAACGCAGCGACGUUGAAACGGUUGACGUAAGCCCGGAUGGAUUCCCCCUCCCUUUGCUUGAUGUUGAUGAGGGACUCCGAACCUCUUCGGGGACGCCGGCUGCUAACAAAAUGAGCCGCAAACUGGUGGCUCAUCCGGUCAAAGGAAAAGAUGGUGCCCGGCUUUAACGCCGAGUACCAAUUCCUUGCUGCUCCCUUCAGAGUGGAUGGGAAAGCUCAGCACAGAAUGGCGUCUGGCGCACCAUGGAGCAGCAUCAUUGUCCGGAAGGUCUCCAGGUGGUCAACCGGGUCCGAGGCCCCGUCGUAGCUUUCGAAUUGGGAGAGCUUGAAGUUUGGCGAGA